This 250-nucleotide unclassified non-coding RNA is filed under the name plant metagenome. RNAcentral's name for it is "partial contains small subunit ribosomal RNA, internal transcribed spacer 1, and 5.8S ribosomal RNA". The record is from RNAcentral.
GUAGGUGAACCUGCGGAAGGAUCAUUAUCAUAACGUAUCCACGUAUAAACCAAUCUUUAAUGUGAAAUGUAAUGUAAAAGCCUUUGUUAGUCAGUGAUUGCUGUUUAGUUUCUACUUCUUAUUGAUUAAGGGAACUAGAUGGACUUGGUUUAACGACCUAGCAUUGAUUAUCAAAUGUAAUUAUUAAUCAAUUUAUUAACCCAUUGAACCGAUUAACUUAUUAUUAGUUAUUCAUUUCUUUUAUUGUGAA